UCACUGGUAGUCAAGUGGUUAAAACUCUGUGCUCCCAACGCAGGGGGCACGGGUUUGACCCCUGGUCAGGGAA
Molecule: transfer RNA, 73 nt
Filed under: Capra hircus (goat)
Lineage: Eukaryota; Metazoa; Chordata; Mammalia; Artiodactyla; Bovidae
Also listed under: 1 other name
Rfam family: tRNA
About the family: Transfer RNA (tRNA) molecules are approximately 80 nucleotides in length. Their secondary structure includes four short double-helical elements and three loops (D, anti-codon, and T loops).
Source: Rfam by way of RNAcentral